CCUACGGGAGGCAGCAGUGAGGAAUAUUGGUCAAUGGGCGUAAGCCUGAACCAGCCAAGUCGCGUGAGGGAUGAAGGUUCUAUGGAUCGUAAACCUCUUUUAUAAGGGAAUAAAGUGCGGGACGUUUCCCGUUUUGUAUGUACCUUAUGAAUAAGGAUCGGCUAACUCCGUGCCAGCAGCCGCGGUAAUACGGAGGAUACGAGCGUUAUCCGGAUUUAUUGGGUUUAAAGGGUGGGUAGGCGGACUGUUAAGUCAGCGGUAAAAGCCCGGGGCUCAACCCAGGCGAGCCGUUGAAACUGGCUGUCUUGAGAGGUCGAGAGUGAUGCGGAAUGCGCAGUGUAGCGGUGAAAUGCUUAGAUAUUUCGCAGAACUCCGAUUGCGAAGGCAGCAUACCGGCGGCGAUCUGACGCUGAGGCACGAAAGCGUGGGUAUCGAACAGGAUUAGAUACCCGGGUAGUC
Molecule: ribosomal RNA, 459 nt
Filed under: uncultured bacterium
Lineage: Bacteria
Description: partial 16S ribosomal RNA
Rfam family: Bacterial small subunit ribosomal RNA
Source: RNAcentral